AGCGACGAAGCCCACUAAGAGAAAAAAGGGGUAGAAAUCAUGAGAAACGAAGAAGAGAAUUGCGGCGACUGAACGUGCCGGUGAAAAUCCAGAUGAAUCUGGAGAAGUUCAGAGAGUAUCUCCACAAGGUCAUCAGGAAUGUGGAAGUUCCCGAUCCGGUACGUUCUGUAAGUCCAGCUGUCAUCUUCGUUGCUACUGUGGACCUUUUUGAAGGUUUCGAGAUGAUGUGGGGUAGCCAAAGACGUAUCAAUGUGCCUCCGCCGGAAGAUGACGCUAAUCUCUUGACCUUCCUCACAUCUCGAGCUACAAUCGUUCCUGAACACAUUCACAGCGACGAGCUAGCAUCGAUCCUGCGUUAUAUCGAUGGUCCCUAUCUCGAGUCCUUCACAGCAGCCCUCAAGGAGAAAGCUACUACCAAAGAAGCUGAUAAAUCUAUCGGUAGACAACUCUGUGACUACGCCAUCAAGUUCUGCUACUACUUCCCAAACAGUGCCCUUUCCAGUGAUCAGGUGGAAACAGAAAGUGGUAGUAGCGCAAUGUACCCCUCAGACUCAGAUGCUACCUCUCAUGGCUUGGGUUUGGCAGUGGAGGAUGAAGAUGAGUUUGAAGAGGAGGAGGAUGAGAAGGAGCCUGUUCUCAAGGACGAGCCGAACUUGGCUGAAGUCAAAGAGGAGCCGCACUUGGUUGAAGUCAAGGAGGAGCUGAAAUUGGUUGAGGUCAAGGAAGAGCUUGUUGAGGUCAAGGAAGAGCCUGUUGACUUGGUUAAAGAGGCCAAUCGUAAGCGUCAUGCUUCAGCAAGCCCAACUUCUUCAUUAGGUUCGACUUAGAAGAAAUACUGUGAUGGCAGAGGAGUACAAGGAUCAAGACGUGGAAGUUUCUCGGGCAAUGACGUUGAAUGUUAUACUUGUUGAUAAAGAUGAUGACAAACGGAAUAAACAUCCUUGAAGCUGUGCAUGAAAACUGUAUUGUCUUCCAUCUUUUGUUUUGUUUUUAUGAUGUGGGGUGUGUGGAGGUUCUCUAGCGUGCUCGCUCGACGUCCCAUGUGAUUGUUAUGUUUGAUUGAAAAUAGGACCUGGAGAACUACGACAAACAAGAGAAUGAUAUGCUGGAUUUUGCUUUUGCAUUAACAGAACUGCAUGUCCUCCUUUCGCAUUAAAUUGUCUCAAUCGGGUUUGGUCGAAAAUGUCGCUAUUGGGAUGUCAAGUCAUUACACAACAAGAGCUAGAUGGUGUCCACUUGCCAUUGCUUCAGCCACUGAAUUUUGCUGUUGAUUGGUUCAUUUCUAAACCUCACUGGACCACUUCAAAGUCUCUCAGAGCAUAUGAUUAUUUAGGUUGUUAAGCUAAACGAGUUUUGGAAUUACACUUUGUUUAUUAUGAGAAAAUCUUAUUAGAUUAAAACUAUAGGAGAUAGUAAUUCAGAAGGUGAGAUAUUUCACAGAUUCAUUUCAUCUC
This is an RNA transcript of Brassica rapa (field mustard), 1454 nucleotides long. RefSeq lists it as uncharacterized. The record is from RefSeq and is a predicted model, not a curated record. NCBI's taxonomy places the organism in Eukaryota, Viridiplantae, Streptophyta, Magnoliopsida, Brassicales, Brassicaceae.